This 497-nucleotide ribosomal RNA is filed under the name uncultured bacterium. RNAcentral describes it as "partial 16S ribosomal RNA". It matches the Rfam family "Bacterial small subunit ribosomal RNA", at positions 28 to 507 of the family's 1533-position model. The record is from RNAcentral.
GACGAACGCUGGCGGCGUGCCUAAUACAUGCAAGUAGAACGCUGAAGAGAGGAGCUUGCUCUUCUUGGAUGAGUUGCGAACGGGUGAGUAACGCGUAGGUAACCUGCCUUGUAGCGGGGAAUAACUAUUGGAAACGAUAGCUAAUACCGCAUAACAAUGGAUGACACAUGUCAUUUAUUUGAAAGGGGCAAUUGCUCCACUACAAGAUGGACCUGCGUUGUAUUAGCUAGUAGGUGAGGUAAUGGCUCACCUAGGCGACGAUACAUAGCCGACCUGAGAGGGUGAUCAGCCACACUGGGACGGAGACACGGCCCAGACUCCCACGGGAGGCAGCAGUAGGGAAUCUUCGGCAAUAGGGGCAACCCUGACCGAGCAACGCCGCGUGAGUGAAGAAGGGUUUCGGAUCGUAAAGCUCUGUUGUAAGUCAAGAACGGGUGUGAGAGUGGAAAGUUCACACUGUGACGGUAGCUGACCAGAAAGGGACGGCUAACUACGUG